This 110-nucleotide small nucleolar RNA is filed under the name Astyanax mexicanus (Mexican tetra). Lineage: Eukaryota; Metazoa; Chordata; Actinopteri; Characiformes; Acestrorhamphidae. The record is from RNAcentral.
GACCAUUCUUGUCGGGUACUGAGUGUGGAGAGAUAGUCCAGCAGAGGAGAUGCCCAUUCCACCGCUAGCUCCUCCUAUAGCCAGCAGGUGGAAGAUAAUCUGCAACAGAA